RNAcentral lists this long non-coding RNA (370 nucleotides) under Callithrix jacchus (white-tufted-ear marmoset). RNAcentral's name for it is "lncRNA (ENSCJAG00000084569.1)". The record is from RNAcentral. Lineage: Eukaryota; Metazoa; Chordata; Mammalia; Primates; Cebidae.
GUUUAUUUUGCUUUCAUUUUUUUGUAAUAAUUUCCCUGGAUAUGAGAUUCUCCCUGGACAUUUGUUUUCUCUCUUUCAGCACUUAGUACAUGCUGUUCUCCUGGCUUGCUGGCAUCCAUUGCUUCUGAUGAGAAUUCAGCUCUUCUAUUUACUGAGGUUUCUUGUACCUCAUUUAAGACUGGAUGCCUUAUCAUAUCUAAUCUUCUAAGAUUCCUCCUGGCUGUGACACUUUCUCAGACCUCAACAUGACUUAUCACUGUUGACGCUGACCUUGAUCACCUGGCUGAAAUGGCAUUUGUCAGAUUUCUCCACUGUGAAGUGACAUUUUCAUUUCCUUUCCAUGGUAUAUCCUUUGGAAGGAAGUGACUGU